AUCCAGCCGACGAGUUCCAAAUAGGAUGAAACGUGCGUCCUGGAU
This 45-nucleotide non-coding RNA is filed under the name Schistosoma mansoni. The record is from RNAcentral. Lineage: Eukaryota; Metazoa; Platyhelminthes; Trematoda; Strigeidida; Schistosomatidae.